UUAAAUUGAAGAGUUUGAUCAUGGCUCAGAUUGAACGCUGGCGGCAGGCCUAACACAUGCAAGUCGAACGGUAACAGGAAGCAGCUUGCUGUUUUGCUGACGAGUGGCGGACGGGUGAGUAAUGUCUGGGAAACUGCCUGAUGGAGGGGGAUAACUACUGGAAACGGUAGCUAAUACCGCAUAACGUCGCAAGACCAAAGAGGGGGACCUUAGGGCCUCUUGCCAUCGGAUGUGCCCAGAUGGGAUUAGCUAGU
This 254-nucleotide ribosomal RNA is filed under the name Escherichia coli. Its description in RNAcentral is "partial 16S ribosomal RNA". It matches the Rfam family "Bacterial small subunit ribosomal RNA", at positions 1 to 249 of the family's 1533-position model. The record is from RNAcentral. Lineage: Bacteria; Pseudomonadati; Pseudomonadota; Gammaproteobacteria; Enterobacterales; Enterobacteriaceae.